This 115-nucleotide ribosomal RNA is filed under the name Schizosaccharomyces octosporus yFS286. The record is from RNAcentral. RNAcentral also lists the same sequence under 1 other name. Lineage: Eukaryota; Fungi; Ascomycota; Schizosaccharomycetes; Schizosaccharomycetales; Schizosaccharomycetaceae.
ACGGCCAUACCUAGGCGAAAACACCAGUUCCCGUCCGAUCACUGCAGUUAAGCGUCUGAGGGUCUCGUUAGUACUAUGGUUGGAGACAACAUGGGAAUCCGGGAUGCUGUAGGCU